UAGAAAACCAAAGUCAAAAACGAAAUCACCAUCAAAUCUUUAAUAUGUAGAAUAUAUACAAAUCUCACCUGAGAGAUUAAAGUGGAAGCGUAGAAUCCGGCGACGAAAAAGACAGAGCAUACAAGUAUAACAGCUGCCUUAUAAACAUGUACUUGACUGUACGGACUAAAUAAAAAGGAACAGAAUAUGCUUUGAUAGAUACAAUAUUUUGUUAUUUGGACUAUGUACCCUAAUAAUAGAACAUUUGUUACAUAAUGUAGGAGACUUUAUCUUUUAAUA
This is a long non-coding RNA of Ricinus communis (castor bean), 279 nucleotides long. RefSeq lists it as uncharacterized. The transcript is spliced from 2 exons. NCBI's taxonomy places the organism in Eukaryota, Viridiplantae, Streptophyta, Magnoliopsida, Malpighiales, Euphorbiaceae. The record is from RefSeq and is a predicted model, not a curated record.